RNAcentral lists this ribosomal RNA (253 nucleotides) under uncultured bacterium. RNAcentral's name for it is "partial 16S ribosomal RNA". It matches the Rfam family "Bacterial small subunit ribosomal RNA", at positions 524 to 776 of the family's 1533-position model. The record is from RNAcentral.
UACAGAGGGUGCGAGCGUUGUCCGGAAUCACUGGGCGUAAAGGGCGCGUAGGCGGCCUGGUAAGCGUGUGGUGAAAGCCCGGGGCUCAACCCCGGGUCUGCCGUGCGAACUGCCGGGCUCGAGCACAGUAGAGGCGGGUGGAAUUCCGGGUGUAGCGGUGGAAUGCGUAGAGAUCCGGAAGAACACCGGUGGCGAAGGCGGCCCGCUGGGCUGUUGCUGACGCUGAGGCGCGACAGCGUGGGGAGCAAACAGG